CUGGAACUUCGUCUGUUACUUCACUCCCUUUAUUCCACAGGCCUCUUCUCUCAUCCUCACCCCAACAGUUUCCUAUUUGUGGUUCUCACUUAGUUUUGGCAGGUGUUCAUAUUUGAUGUAUUUCCUGGAACAUGUUAGUGGUUUCUUUGGAGAAAACCAACAAUUCACCAUUUCUUUUGGUGGGGGAUUUAUUUUCUGGGAGAUCUCACACCACCCUCAUGAGCUUCUGCCCUAGCUUUACAGGUUUUCCUUGAUUUAAAUCUUAAUAUGAAAGGUUAAAUUGAGUUUAUUGAACUCCCAAAAAGUCCAAGACUAGGAAAUCAGGAUGAAAUGGGACCAGAGAGAAAGAAAGGUGCUUUCUUGGAGUUGGAACUGGCAGAGCGGGUAUCAGGACAGACUUCACGUAUGCAUGGAGAGAUAUGGAAUCUACAUACGACUGAAAACCUGGACAUAUAUGUCUCAAUUCUAUUUCUCCUUUUUAGGGGCUAGGGGUAGAAGUGACAAAAAGGGUGAUCUCCUCCACAGAAGACCCGCUUCUCUAUUUACACGAUGCACCAUUACCUCUGAAGUAGCCAUCACCGAUCCUGCAUUCUCAGUUAUCCAUAGAUCCAGACACAGAACUUUCCCUUUGUUACAGAAAAUUUUAUUGCAUAGCACCAAUCUGGAGUAUUUUAUGUCCAUCAACAAUAAGCAACUUUUAAGGCUUGGAACAUCAUCCCUAUCCAAGAACCAUGAAACUGAAUAAAACAAAUCAUU
This 756-nucleotide long non-coding RNA is filed under the name Equus caballus (horse). RNAcentral's name for it is "lncRNA (ENSECAG00000037639.3)". The record is from RNAcentral. Lineage: Eukaryota; Metazoa; Chordata; Mammalia; Perissodactyla; Equidae.